Molecule: ribosomal RNA, 392 nt
Filed under: uncultured bacterium
Lineage: Bacteria
Description: bacterial SSU rRNA
Rfam family: Bacterial small subunit ribosomal RNA
Source: RNAcentral
AUUGAACGCUGGCGGCAUGCCUUACACAUGCAAGUCGAGCGGCAGCGCGGGGGCAACCCUGGCGGCGAGCGGCGAACGGGUGAGUAAUGCAUCGGAACGUGUCCUUUUGUGGGGGAUAACCAGUCGAAAGACUGGCUAAUACCGCAUGAGCUCGAGAGAGGAAAGCAGGGGACCCGAGGGUAACUUCGGGCCUUGCGCGAGAGGAGCGGCCGAUGCCCGANAGCUAGUUGGUGAGGUAACGGCUCACCAAGGCGACGAUCGGUAGCUGGUUUGAGAGAACGACCAGCCACACUGGGACUGAGACACGGCCCAGACUCCUACGGGAGGCAGCAGUGGGAAUUUUGGACAAUGGGCGCAAGCCUGAUCCAGCCAUGCCGCGUGUGUGAAGAAGG